Molecule: transfer RNA, 74 nt
Filed under: Pitta sordida (hooded pitta)
Lineage: Eukaryota; Metazoa; Chordata; Aves; Passeriformes; Pittidae
Also listed under: 1 other name
Rfam family: tRNA
About the family: Transfer RNA (tRNA) molecules are approximately 80 nucleotides in length. Their secondary structure includes four short double-helical elements and three loops (D, anti-codon, and T loops).
Source: Rfam by way of RNAcentral
AAGAAAGAAGCAUGAGUGGUUUGAUGCCGUUGGCUUGAAACCAGCUGGUGAGGGUUCGAUUCCUUCCUUUCUUG